Ananas comosus (pineapple) is the source of this 380-nucleotide long non-coding RNA. RefSeq lists it as uncharacterized. The record is from RefSeq and is a predicted model, not a curated record. Lineage: Eukaryota; Viridiplantae; Streptophyta; Magnoliopsida; Poales; Bromeliaceae. The transcript has 2 exons.
UCUUUUACCACUUGCUCUAGGGACGGUCGGUAAUGCCACUGAUCUUUUUGGGUCCUCCAAAGCAAUUUCAAAUCUUGGAAUUUUGGACUCGAAUCCAAACCACACGACCCCAGAAUCAGUCAACUACGAAGCGUCACGAUCAUAUCUACCGUGCGUUACGAAUAAAGAUGCAUGUGGGGGUAUCUUUUACCAAAAAUGGUUCGUAUAGUAGUUUUAUUUAUUUGGUACCUUUUUGACUCGUAAUUGUUAUUAUACAACAUUGAAAUGAACCCCAUAGAUUUGGGGAUCUCUCCACCCCAAAUGUAUGAUAUUUUCUAAAUUAUGUAAGUUAUGCGGCUCGGUUCAAUUUUAUAAAAUAUUAAGGGCUAAUUACAUCACUA